RNAcentral lists this long non-coding RNA (992 nucleotides) under Malus domestica (apple). Its description in RNAcentral is "long non-coding RNA (MDOM_LNC011834)". The record is from RNAcentral. Lineage: Eukaryota; Viridiplantae; Streptophyta; Magnoliopsida; Rosales; Rosaceae.
UUUACGGAACGGUGCGUCGUCGCACUCUCUAAGUAAUCAAAAGUAGAAAGUGGAUAUAAUUUUUUUUUUUUUUUGGUGAACGAGAUAAUAUAAUUUGAUGUGCAGUGAAGUGAGAGAACAAGCGAAUCCAAAUGGAACCAAUAUUUUAACCAUGAGCUAGUGGUCCUGGUAAAUGACGGAUUACGAACUUUCUUUAAAAUUAAAAACUAAAGGUUUUAGGUUUGAAAUCUACUGUUGAUGUGAAAGCUAUAAACUUAUAGCCAAGGAAAAAUUGAAACAUCCUUGUGAAUCUUUUAGACCUUCAAAAAGAAUGAAUAACCGUGGUUUAAUACUAAUGGUUCGCUUUUAUUUAAAAAAGAAAAAGGAACCAAUAUUUUUACUAUUAAGUCGCAACGUUCAAUUUAACUUUGGUCGGUUACGUACAAAUGUACCCUGUGCAUCCUACAAAAAUCUUUUGAAGUGCGCAGUGCGCAGAGCAUGGCUCACGUUAGCAGCUCCCGAGAACACACAGCGUUUUAACUUUUCCCACUGUGGACCUACUUUAUUAAUAAGCUAAGGGUGAAAAAUUAAGGAAAUUUGUGUUCCUCAAAGGUCAAAUUUACCCAUUCAGCUUGGUUUAGUCCUACUGUGUGAAAGUUUAAAAUGCAAGGACAAAAUGGGUACUUCAACAAACGAACACAAUAACAAAUACAGGUGUUAAAAUAAUUUCUUGAAAUUUUGAUUUCAUUUUCCUUCUACAAGUUAAAUCUCCUAAUAAGUGGCAGAGGACGGUUUGAUAUUUUUACACAAGAAGAGGGACCAAAAUGAAAAUUAAAAAUUCUCUCCAUUUUCUCUGUAUUGUCCCUCAUUUAACUCCUUUUAAACAUCAUUUUUUUCCUCCAGAGUCCCCUAACAUAUACUUCCUUUCCAUUUUUACCCCUCCACCUGUCCAACCCAUACCCUAAUCAAUGUACUACAUGAACAGUUCAGAUUGCAUCAAGGUAUAGUAGUUG